GAGUGAUCUUAUCCGUCUCUGCAAGAGAAGCCUGUGAACCAAACAAUAUCAUUAUGGUCUGUCCACUGUUGUUGAAUAACAAAGCACUUCACACGUCCAGCGCGCUCAUAGAAGGAGGCGAGCCUGGCGCCCAGUGUUUGGUUUGUCCGCUCUGGGCUAAAGUAGAAACAUGGUGUCACAACAGGAAGGACUAGAAGAGGAACUGAUCCGUAUGAAGAUAUUAACGGCUCAUUCUAAGGAACUAAGCACCAACCUGCCAUCUGGGGACAGCGAGCCCUCAGACGAUGCCCCUCGGCGGAGACUCUGCGGAUGGC
Molecule: non-coding RNA, 314 nt
Organism: Plectropomus leopardus (leopard coralgrouper)
Lineage: Eukaryota; Metazoa; Chordata; Actinopteri; Perciformes; Serranidae
Source: RefSeq, a predicted model, not a curated record